AUUGAACGCUGGCGGCAGGCCUAACACAUGCAAGUCGAGCGGAUGAAGGGAGCUUGCUCCUGGAUUCAGCGGCGGACGGGUGAGUAAUGCCUAGGAAUCUGCCUGGUAGUGGGGGAUAACGUCCGGAAACGGGCGCUAAUACCGCAUACGUCCUGAGGGAGAAAGUGGGGGAUCUUCGGACCUCACGCUAUCAGAUGAGCCUAGGUCGGAUUAGCUAGUUGGUGGGGUAAAGGCCUACCAAGGCGACGAUCCGUAACUGGUCUGAGAGGAUGAUCAGUCACACUGGAACUGAGACACGGUCCAGACUCCUACGGGAGGCAGCAGUGGGGAAUAUUGGACAAUGGGCGAAAGCCUGAUCCAGCCAUGGCGCGUGUGUGAAGAAGGUCUUCGGAUUGGAAAGCACUUUAAGUUGGGAGGAAGGGCAGUAAGUUAAUACCUUGCUGUUUUGACGGUACCAACAGAAUAAGCACCGGCUAACUUCGUG
Molecule: ribosomal RNA, 484 nt
Filed under: uncultured bacterium
Lineage: Bacteria
Description: partial 16S ribosomal RNA
Rfam family: Bacterial small subunit ribosomal RNA
Source: RNAcentral